UACGUAGGGCGCAAGCGUUAUCCGGAAUUAUUGGGCGUAAAGGGCGCGUAGGCGGCGAUUCAAGUGACGGGUGAAAUCCCUCGGCUUAACCGAGGAACUGCCUGUCAGACUGGAUUGCUUGAGGCCGGGAGAGGCGAGUGGAAUUCCCAGUGUAGCGGUGAAAUGCGUAGAUAUUGGGAGGAACACCAGUGGCGAAGGCGGCUCGCUGGACCGGUUCUGACGCUGAGGCGCGAAAGCGUGGGGAGCAAACAGG
This 253-nucleotide ribosomal RNA is filed under the name uncultured bacterium. Its description in RNAcentral is "partial 16S ribosomal RNA". It matches the Rfam family "Bacterial small subunit ribosomal RNA", at positions 524 to 776 of the family's 1533-position model. The record is from RNAcentral.